GAUAGAGAGUUUAAUCCAAGCUUCGAUGCCGGAAAACCCUAGAUAUGGAAUCGAUCCCCCUUCCCUCUCUUCGCUUCCAUAACUCUUCUCUGCUACCUCUCCGUCGCCAACCACGGCUUUAUCCUCCGGCGUCCUCCGUCUCCGGCGCCAUUCGAGCUUCUGCUCCAUUGACCCCGUCUACAUGCCUACCCCUCCCGAUCGCCCUCUCCGGCGCCAUUCGAUGUUAUGAACCAGUUUGUUUGGGGCUUCGGCGUGCCGGAGGACGAGGUGGAGUUCAAUGAUGUCUAUGACCUGUAUGAUGAGCUUCUAGACAUGCUUCCCAAGCCUUUGCUCGCCAUGCUCUUUCUCUUUCCUUACAAUGUUAAGGCCAAAGAGGAGAUCCGGAGUUCACGUGGGCGGGAGCUCCGCUUUAUAUAGAUGAUUUGGAAAACAUACUAGAUGAGAACAUGGUGCUUUCCUUCAAUGUUGAAAUCGAGGAUGGCAGCGUAGAAGAGAUUGCUGAGUAAUUGAUGAUUAUGCAUGAAGACUGUCUGCAGGGAAAUUUUGAAUCAAUUUAUCAAUUAAAGAACUCUGCUUCCACGAGAAAUGCUGCCUCUCAAAGUAGACAGGUGGUUAAUGAAAAUGAGGGUGAGAAUUUAGAUGAAGAGGUGGAUGAAGAUGGAUCAGAAAUGAUUGUUGAUGAACCAGAACCAAAGGAAGUUGCCGUGAAUGAGCCAAAACAACCAAAACAAACACCUAAUGAAAAGGGUUGGUUUGUUGUUCCUACCAAGCGUAAUUGUGGUAAGAGAUGGACAUAAUUCAUAUCCGGCAAACUUAUAGUGCCGGUGAAGUGCUAAUAUAAAUAUUUCUUACUUAUGAUUUUUGCAAAGCAUUUCUUUACUUGAUCUACACUAUUGUAUCCAUCCCUUGGCUGCUUUGUUUGAAAGGUUAAUUUCCUUUUCUCAUUUUGGUUGAGCAUGUUUCUUCUUAAUUUAUACUGUUUGUAGUCAUCCUUAUUCUUUUUGCAUCCUAGCUUGGAAUGGCUCUACUUCUACUUGUGGUUAAUGUUAUUAACAUUAAAAGGUAGUUCAAGGGUUGUAAAUUGUUUUAGUAAACUUCAUCUCCUUGGAACAAUAGUGUUUUCUGAAAUUUCUUGUUUAUUUAUUUGUACAAAGUUUACCAUUCAUCUAAUUAUCUAAUUGUUUUUGAAUUUGUCCCUUGGACUGGUACUUUGAGCUGGGAGAUAGCUCCAUGGGGUUACUAGAAAUUGUCUGCUUUGAAUGAGAAACACAUGGUGAUUGUCUUUUUGACCUUUCUGAGUUUUAAACACAGCAUAUUGUAACAGGCAAGAGUUGUGUCUAUGAAAUCAUAAAAGCUAAAGAUCUAUGCUUAUAUUGACACUUGUAGAUCUACGUCUGUGUUUUAAUUGUCACAUGCAAGUCAUUGCUGUUUGUUGUUGCUUGUCAUUACCUGGAUGGCUGAAUAUCAUAUAAGCUGUUUUUUUUUAUUAAAAGAACAUCGUCUACACCUUGAUCAAACUGGUGGAGCUCACUGACUUGACUUACUGCCUUUGUUUCUUCAAGCAAGUGGAAAUAGAGGCCACUACAAAAGAAUCGAGUUCUCCAUUGCGAGCUCUAACAGCAGAAGCAUGUUUUGUAACAGAAUGCAAAGAUACUUGCAGUGCUAAUCUCAGGUUGCAGUUGUGGGAAAUAUGAUAUGAAGGCAGCAAGGGUAAGGUAUAUAUAUAUAUAUAUAUUUGAAACUAAACAUGUUUUUUUGCUAUUAUGACAGAAUUGACUGCGAGAAGAGUGAUGAAUGCAUGGCGAAUUGCAGGGAUAAUUCAUGCAUUACAAGUGUGGAAUGAACAAGAAUGUGGGGACACAUGCUCAACAUUGACAAAGCAGACAAUGAAGAUUAUGAGUAAGCAGGAAUUUUUAGAGAAAGCAUACGAAGAGCAGAAGUAGCAAAACCACUACAUCUUUUUCCUCUUAGAAUCUCGAGUUCUUUGUCGGAGGCAACUGGAAGUGUGUUAGAGUCUCCGAGUCUCCUUCUGAAGACAAUCCUCUGCUUUGUCUUAUUGUAAGAGUCCAUGUUGCUUCAAUAACUGUGUGAGGAUAACAGACAGACCAAGCCAUUAUUA
Dioscorea cayenensis subsp. rotundata (Guinea yam) is the source of this 2119-nucleotide long non-coding RNA. RefSeq lists it as uncharacterized. The transcript has 7 exons. NCBI's taxonomy places the organism in Eukaryota, Viridiplantae, Streptophyta, Magnoliopsida, Dioscoreales, Dioscoreaceae. The record is from RefSeq and is a predicted model, not a curated record.